RNAcentral lists this ribosomal RNA (253 nucleotides) under uncultured bacterium. RNAcentral describes it as "partial 16S ribosomal RNA". It matches the Rfam family "Bacterial small subunit ribosomal RNA", at positions 524 to 776 of the family's 1533-position model. The record is from RNAcentral.
UACGUAGGUGGCAAGCGUUGUCCGGAUUUACUGGGCGUAAAGGGAGCGUAGGUGGAUAUUUAAGUGGGAUGUGAAAUACUCGGGCUUAACCUGGAUGCUGCAUUCCAAACUGGAUAUCUAGAGUGCAGGAGAGGAAAGUAGAAUUCCUAGUGUAGCGGUGAAAUGCGUAGAGAUUAGGAAGAAUACCAGUGGCGAAGGCGACUUUCUGGACUGUAACUGACACUGAGGCUCGAAAGCGUGGGGAGCAAACAGG